CAUGGCGCCCUGUGUGGAUUACACAGUCGCUCACCCAGACCCAAGGACGAGCUCCUCCGAGCUCCUGGCAGAGGGUAAAGGCCUGAUGCGUGGGACGCACAAAGCCCCCGGGUUUACCGGACUGCGCUGGAGAAGACAGUUGUGUGCACGCCUGUCUCUGCCAGAUUACAGCUCCUGGAGGCAGGGAUGACAUCACACCCGCCUCAUCCUUCACAGUGCCCAGCCGUAGGAGGCACACAAAAAGCUGUUAAUGGGAUUGGAAUAUCUUUCACUGAAUUCAACUGAACGUAAUGUCGCCAAAUUGACGAUGCUUCAUUUGGUGUCUACUUCUGGACUUACCAAGCCUGCCACGACCUGCUCAAGUAUUCAACUCUGAAGACAGGAAGGUCCACUUUCUCUACCUUGGAAAGCCAGGAAGGCACCAGAAAACUGCUCUAUCCUCAGUGACAACAGCUUCCCUUCAAAAGGGGAUAAGAUAUCUCAGGUUCAUUGAAAAUAGUUACUUCCCCAGAAUUUGGUGUAGACACAGGUGAAUCCCUUGGAAAAUCUCCUCUAAAAGGGUGAGUUACCUUCAUGGCUUUCAAAGGAGUUAAGAUUGCCUCCUUCAGGAAGACUGAUGGUCUAUAGGUUUUCAGGUAAUUCAGGGAAGCGGGAGAGCCCCUCAAAAGAGAAUUUUCUU
This is a long non-coding RNA of Mustela erminea (ermine), 679 nucleotides long. RefSeq lists it as uncharacterized. NCBI's taxonomy places the organism in Eukaryota, Metazoa, Chordata, Mammalia, Carnivora, Mustelidae. The transcript has 3 exons. The record is from RefSeq and is a predicted model, not a curated record.